AAGAAAGUAGACAAGAACUGCUAAUUCAUGCACCCAUGUAUAAGACACAUGGCUUUCUU
Molecule: transfer RNA, 59 nt
Filed under: Psammomys obesus (fat sand rat)
Lineage: Eukaryota; Metazoa; Chordata; Mammalia; Rodentia; Muridae
Description: tRNA-Ser
Source: RNAcentral